CUACGGGAUGCACCAGUGGGGAAUAUUGCACAAUGGGCGCAAGCCUGAUGCAGCCAUGCCGCGUGUAUGAAGAAGGCCUUCGGGUUGUAAAGUACUUUCAGCGGGGAGGAAGGGAGUAAAGUUAAUACCUUUGCUCAUUGACGUUACCCGCAGAAGAAGCACCGGCUAACUCCGUGCCAGCAGCCGCGGUAAUACGGAGGGUGCAAGCGUUAAUCGGAAUUACUGGGCGUAAAGCGCACGCAGGCGGUUUGUUAAGUCAGAUGUGAAAUCCCCGGGCUCAACCUGGGAACUGCAUCUGAUACUGGCAAGCUAGAGUCUCGUAGAGGGGGGUAGAAUUCCAGGUGUAGCGGUGAAAUGCGUAGAGAUCUGGAGGAAUACCGGUGGCGAAGGCGGCCCCCUGGACGAAGACUGACGCUCAGGUGCGAAAGCGUGGGGAGCAAACAGGAUUAGAUACCCCUGUAGUC
This 464-nucleotide ribosomal RNA is filed under the name uncultured bacterium. RNAcentral's name for it is "partial 16S ribosomal RNA". It matches the Rfam family "Bacterial small subunit ribosomal RNA", at positions 339 to 795 of the family's 1533-position model. The record is from RNAcentral.